GACGACGUACAGCGCGUCGGACAGGAUGGCGCUGGCGUUCUCCCGGCCGACCAACGCCGCAAGCUUGGACUGGUACUCCCUGUAGUACUUGAGCUGCUGCGUCAACGUGAUUGCAUCCUGCGUAGCUUGCUGGAACAUGUUACAUACGUAUAGAGCACUUACAUACAUGGCCGCCGUGUCGUCGUGGUAGCUGGACGCCGCCGAGGCGAAGUUGGCGCCAAGAAGAAGGUUCUUCCCCGACGCUUGCGGACUAAGGAUAAUUGUGGUCAACCGGUGAUGUCGGUGACGAUCUUGCCGUCGGAGAACCUCCCGGUCGGCCUGCGACGGUGGAAGUUCACCCCGUACGGCACGUAGUUGGCCUUGAAGACGGCGCCGGGCAGGUAGUUGUUGUUGCCGACGUCGAUGGUCGAGUCACCGAAGGAGAACACCGCCGGCACGAUCUGCGCCUGGACGCCGCCGUCCAUCGCCGGCGAGAGGAUCAGCAGAGACAUCGCCAGCAGCAGCGGAACGUACACGUACUGCAGUCAACACUCAGCAGGUGUGAGUUGCUGCUACCUGUCUGCUAGCUAUUGCAGUAUCUCUCAGGUAAUUUCACAGGUCAACAAAAAGUAUUUACUUCCAGGCUUCCUUUUGUUUAGUUAGCUUUGCUAGCUGAAUUGUUGUUGGACGGCGGAUAGCAUCCUUAAAUCAUCACCAAACCUAUCUGGUCUGGAUUCCAGUCCGAAUCUUUGAUUGUAAAACCACGUGCUGCAAUCUCGUCAGUCUCUUCGCAAUUUGUGGUUGGCCGUUUAGGAAGG
Molecule: long non-coding RNA, 797 nt
Organism: Oryza brachyantha (malo sina)
Lineage: Eukaryota; Viridiplantae; Streptophyta; Magnoliopsida; Poales; Poaceae
Exons: 4
Source: RefSeq, a predicted model, not a curated record